GCAUUAUUUUAUUGCGUGUAUUUAAUGUACAUGGGUUAUAUAAUGUGAGUUCAUAAAUAAACCCCAAAUUUCCUUUGUAUAGUAGCAGUAACACAUUUAUAUUACAUUAUGAAAAUUAUAGCGUCCAAACCAAGCCUUAAAUAACUUGUUGCUGAGAUUUUCUUCCUUGUCCCAAACUGAGUGUCACAUUAGUACAUGAACAGUGGACAGAAGCUAGUUUACGUAACUUUCAAAUGGCUAAAAUAUAGGCAAUGAUUUCAAAACCAAUGGCCUGAUGGUGGGUUGUUCAACUACCCUUGAUUAACCAAUGAGUUCUUCCUUUGCACCAUGAGCUCCAACAUUGUGUAAUGCAAAUGUCCAGUUCAUAGUUCCUUUAUAAUAAAUACACCCCAUUUUCAGUUUUGUUGUUUGUUAAGUUUGAUAUUGAGAGUUCUAAGUUGCUGAGGAAUUUUGGAAGCAUACUCAUUGUGUAAGGAGUCCAAACCAAGCUCAAGAAGGUAUAGAUUUUUACUAUGGGUCUAGUUAAUUCUUGAAAAUUACUUCAAAUUCUUUGUUAAUCAAAGUGAAUUAAC
This 572-nucleotide long non-coding RNA is filed under the name Panax ginseng (ginseng). Its description in RNAcentral is "long non-coding RNA (PGIN_LNC017363)". The record is from RNAcentral. Lineage: Eukaryota; Viridiplantae; Streptophyta; Magnoliopsida; Apiales; Araliaceae.